This 921-nucleotide long non-coding RNA is filed under the name Chinchilla lanigera (long-tailed chinchilla). RNAcentral's name for it is "lncRNA (ENSCLAG00000028458.1)". The record is from RNAcentral. Lineage: Eukaryota; Metazoa; Chordata; Mammalia; Rodentia; Chinchillidae.
GCUGACGCUGCCGGGCUCUUGUUAGCCCUGGUAGGCGCUGACUGUGGGUGCAGGAAGGGCUUUCCCAGGGCAGAUACUGGUGUUUCUUGGUGGAAGAGGGGACUCUCAGGCCCUCAUGGCGCCCUAGCCACACUGCCUUUCGUGGCUGGGUCUCUGCCACCUUGUCUGUCCACCGUCUUCUAGCUGGAGACGAAAACCCAUGUCCAUGAGGAUGAAGAGGCUUACAGAGGGACACUGCUUGCCUCUAGGUAGGGGAGCAAUACGUGGGCUGGGCCCCCUGUUGCUGAUGGGGAACUCCUGCCAUGGUCCCAUUUCCACUCGGUCUUUCAUGGAGGAGUGGAGCAUCGGCCUACAGGGACAAAGUCGUCCUCAGAACAGCCCUCACCAGGGAGUUGCUCCUGUGGCCUCUUCUCGCACUGGAGGAUCCAUGUGGACAGGGUGCGCGCUUUCCUGACGGAGUCCCUACCUCACACCAUCUUCCUAGGUGUGCAGCAUCACUGAGAAUCCUAAAGACUGUUUGGAAACUAAAUUAAGUCAAACCACAUAGCUGUACCUGGGAACAACCACUCCGUCAGCACAGACCUUCUGGGUGCCUACCAUGUGCUGGGCAUGGUUCUAGAUGCAAGGGCAUUUGGAGAAGAGACAGAAGUAAAAAUGCCUGUUUCUGUGGAGCUUCCUCUCUAAAUGAGGUGGGCAGUAAAUCAAAAGUCAUGCACAGUAUAAGAAUGAGUGUCAGGUGCUGAUAGGUGCUAUAGGAAUAAAAUGUAGGGGCUUCAUAGGUAGAUUUUGGGGGGUUUCAAGUUUAGAUGAAGUGGCCAGGGAAGGAUUUCUUGUGAAAAGAGACGGCAUCACUGAGUAAAGCCCUAGAGGAGAAAGGGGGAUUGUUGUGUAGAUAUCGGGGAGAAACACACUCUAGGAGGA